Molecule: transfer RNA, 97 nt
Filed under: Streptomyces sp. YIM 121038
Lineage: Bacteria; Bacillati; Actinomycetota; Actinomycetes; Kitasatosporales; Streptomycetaceae
Description: tRNA-Gln
Source: RNAcentral
CACGGCCUCGGGCACGGCGACAGCACGGUCGGCUCUGUGCUGGCGGCCGGGACGCUCGGCACGCUCGGUGCGUCGUUCGCCGUCGACCGGCUGCGCC